This 482-nucleotide long non-coding RNA is filed under the name Cricetulus griseus (Chinese hamster). RNAcentral's name for it is "lncRNA (ENSCGRG00015042293.1)". Lineage: Eukaryota; Metazoa; Chordata; Mammalia; Rodentia; Cricetidae. The record is from RNAcentral.
AGGCUAGGGACAUCUGGCUGCCUGCAGCCUGGAACCUCAGAGCGCGUGGCACAACCACUGGGCGGGGAAUGCAGCCAGGGCAGUUCCCACCGGCUCCCUGCUCAGGGUGGGACCCCUUGCUUGGCGGGGGCCACUGGAAUGACACCUGGCCAAAUAUUAAUUACUGUUGCUUCCGAGGUCCCACCAGUCACAGCGGUGGCGAGCCCUGCCCAGGAAGUCCAAAUAAUCGGCAUCGCUGGUUGAGAAAUCUAAGGAAAUUGCCCGAAGUCUCAACCUGGCAAGAGACAAGGCUGGGACACUUUCCACUAAUGGCAGAGCAUAGGUGAGGCCUCACCUCCUGGGUGUGUCUGCUCCCUCCACCGAAGGCUGCAUCAGAAAGUCUUCACCCAGCUGUCAGAGGUGGAGCUCCUGCACCCUUGUCUUCCUAGAGUACAUACUCUACUCCUCCCCCAGGCACGAGCACACACAGGUCGUAGGAAGUG